UAAAAAAAACAACUGGUUAAGGCAUUUUCUAAAAUGUAAAACUAUUUUAUAACAAUAAUAUUGUCUGUGCCCAUGAGAGAAUGCCACUUUCUGAUGACUUAAUCUAUGUAAUCAUAAUCAUUAGUGACACUAUUACACAUACUCACACACAGUCUCUUCCACAAGAUUUUAAGACAGCAGUUUUAGAGAAGCAACAUUUUCAACUGUAAAAAAUGCAGACACAAACCCUAACAAUUACAUCUAGUAACUGAAUAUAAUUAGAGUAACAAUGAAAUUAAAUAUCAUCUACCUUAUUGUUUGUAAAACCAAACAAAUACAAAAUGUGUUAAAUUACUGAACAAAAAUAGGUGCAGUGCCCAAGCACUUGGCUUCCAAACUAGAGGGUUCAGGGUUUGAAUCCUGGUGAAGACUGCACUU
Molecule: non-coding RNA, 417 nt
Organism: Biomphalaria pfeifferi
Lineage: Eukaryota; Metazoa; Mollusca; Gastropoda; Planorbidae
Source: the annotation of a GenBank genome assembly